UUUCAUCACCAAACCUCCUUUUCAGUGCCUGAUCUUGUCUGAUCUUGGAAGCUAAGCAAGGCCCGGUUAGUACUUGGAUGGGAGACAGCCAGGAAUACCAGAUGCCGCAGC
Molecule: ribosomal RNA, 111 nt
Filed under: Periophthalmus magnuspinnatus
Lineage: Eukaryota; Metazoa; Chordata; Actinopteri; Gobiiformes; Gobiidae
Source: RNAcentral